This 472-nucleotide long non-coding RNA is filed under the name Mytilus galloprovincialis (Mediterranean mussel). The record is from RNAcentral. Lineage: Eukaryota; Metazoa; Mollusca; Bivalvia; Mytilida; Mytilidae.
AUUCUUGCAGGGAUAAUGGGAUUUUAAGCAAGUUGAGAUUAUAAAACAAUUGCAUAACAGUUGUUUCUAUUCUAAUGCAUAUAUAACCAAAAGAAAAAAAGAAAUAAAAUAAAUGCACUAAAGCUUCGAAAAUGUAUAAAAAUAAAAUUUAAAUAAAAUUCCGGGAAAUUUCACGAAUGAUUUGGCGAAUUUACGUCAUGGCAAAACACGACGUCAUACGAUUGAAAACUUUCAGACGGAAGAUUAUUUCGUUACUUGUACACUUGAAAUUCGGAUAGUAUCUAAUUAAAAUGAAGUUUUUGAGGUAGGUGCUAGUUCAUUUUAGAUUCUGUUGCAUUUAUCGAACAUUAAAGUUAUUUAGAGUCAAGAUGUCGGCGUACUACUUAGUUACGACAUGCCAUUGUGCUUCUGAUGGUACAUAUAGUAGCCAUCAAAGUAAUAAUGUAAAUUAAUAAUAGCGUAUGUUUGUCUG